RNAcentral lists this non-coding RNA (31 nucleotides) under Mus musculus (house mouse). The record is from RNAcentral. Lineage: Eukaryota; Metazoa; Chordata; Mammalia; Rodentia; Muridae.
UGACGCAUUAGCCAGUGUUUACCUUCCAGUC